CAUUUGUGUCUAUUUGCAAAAAGGGACAUCAGUCCUGGGGAAGAGAUCAUGUAUAAUUAUGGGAACUCUGACUGGCCAUGGAGAUGUGAGGCUGUGGGUCAGGUGGUAGAGGCUGGUAGGCUGCCCACUAAUCAUGGAGUCGGUGGCUCACUUCCUGGUUCCUUCUGUCAACACUUCAAAGUGUUAAUUUUAAGGCACUGCAGGCAAGUUUGUCCAGAAAGGUUAGGCCUGCACCUCACACGGCAGCUCUGCCAACAUUUGACUUAGAUGCUGCUGGUGUU
Monopterus albus (swamp eel) is the source of this 281-nucleotide long non-coding RNA. RefSeq lists it as uncharacterized. NCBI's taxonomy places the organism in Eukaryota, Metazoa, Chordata, Actinopteri, Synbranchiformes, Synbranchidae. The transcript has 2 exons. The record is from RefSeq and is a predicted model, not a curated record.